RNAcentral lists this unclassified non-coding RNA (1964 nucleotides) under Apis dorsata (giant honeybee). RNAcentral's name for it is "craniofacial development protein 1, transcript variant X1". Lineage: Eukaryota; Metazoa; Arthropoda; Insecta; Hymenoptera; Apidae. The record is from RNAcentral.
AAAUUUGAACGUAAUAUCGUAGUUUAUGAUUUUACCGUAGGAAGGCGCUCGUGGAGCAAGUUAAAAAUGGCUGAUGAUAUACGAAUGCAUUUGCGAAUCGCGAGUCGAUUCGUGUUCUUCGGUCGUUACUUUUUGUGAUUUUCUCACGUGUAGUGGCAUUUCUUUGCGUGUUUGUAAAAUAUUAAUAAUAUUAAUUCAAAUUUUUUCAUGUAUAACAAUUAAUUGGAAAGGAACAAAGGAAAUAAAAUAUUCGGAAUAUUUUAACGAAAGUUCCCGAAGGUGAUUCAUUGUCUAACUGAAUUUUUAGCUUAGAAAGAUCGUGUUUUGGAGAAAAUUCUUACAUUACGAAUAAAAUUUUAAUUAAAUAUGACUGAAGAACACCAAUUACCCUCUGAUUCUGAUGAAGAUGAUGAAGAUUAUAUUCCCGAUGGUGCAGAUAGUGAGCCAGUAUCUGAAGUAGAAUCUGAAGGUGAUGCAGAGAGUGGUCCUGAAGAUGAGAAUGAUGAAAACCAAAGAGAAACGACAAAGAAAAGAGGAAGAAAGAAAAAUAAAGUUAUAAAAUCUAAAAUUAGAAAGCGUAGAAGAACAAGGAAAAAGAUAACAGAGAAUAAGAAUGAUGAAAAAGAGGAAAAACAACAAAAAGAAGAAUCUAUUGAGAAAAAAGAACUUACCGAAGAAGAGGAGAAAAAAAGGGCUGAUUCUCUUUGGGCUGAUUUUAUGAAAGACACAGCAAUGACACCUAAACCUAAGCAACAAAAUGUAACAAAUAAAUCUAAAGAGAGAUCUCCAUCUAUAGAAAAGCCAAAAGUAGAAGAAAAAGUAAAAAUAACUAAAGUAUUUGAAUUUGCUGGUGAAGAAGUAAAAGUAGAAAAAGAAGUCUCCAUAGAUUCGGCAGAAGCAAGAAUAUCUCUAUCUUCUGCUGAGAAUUCUGAGAAAACAGGAAAUUCUGGAUCUCCUGCGGGUAGAGGAUCUGGAAGAGGUAGAGGUUUCAAGCGGGCUGGUCUAGGGGGUAUUUCUUCUGUCCUUGGUCAAUUAGGAAAGAAGGCGAAAAUUAGUACGUUAGAAAAGUCCAAACUAGAUUGGGAUAAUUAUAAGAAACAAGAGAAUUUGGAGGAAGAAAUUAGUACUCAUAACAAAGGCAAGGAUGGAUAUUUAGAACGUCAAGAUUUCUUACAAAGGGCAGAUUUGCGACAGUUUGAAAUUGAAAAGCAAUUACGUAAUGCAAAUAGACGUAGUACACGGUGAAUUUAUAAUUUUAUGUAUAUAUAUUUUAUAUAUAUAUAUAUAUCUUCCCUAACAAUGAAAACCAGAAAUGGUAUUGAGAAAAAUAUCUUAUUAGAAUUGCCAAUUAUUGGCGCUUGUAGCACAUAUUUACUCGAAUUGUUUAAACUCUUACUAAAUAUCUCAUGCCAUGUAUAAAAAUGUGAUUGCCUCGCUUGGCUUGACAAUCGGCUGGAUCUGGUUAAGAAACGGUUGAGAGCCAAUUCUGUGAGAAGAGACUGAUCAUUCCAAUGUAUCGAAGAUAAUAUAGUACGUUAUGUAAUAGUCUAAUGUAUCAUCUGCGAGCGUUGUCUCGAUCCAUUAUAUCACAGAACUUCGCAUCGAAGCAGGAUGUUUGAAGCUUGGUGCUUCGGAGACCGACGAUAUAUAUUCUAACAAUAAACAAGCUCCAGAGAUGUUUUUAUUCCAUUUCAGUGGAAGAAAGGAUGAUUGAUGACAGUGUAGAUUAGUAAAAUCAAUGCUCGUUUCCGAUUCAAUCGUAUAUAUGAUAUAAAGAGAAGAAAAUCGAAAAUACAUAACCUCUACGAAUAAUUCGAAACAGCAAGUGUAACAAGAAUAUCACAACGAGAAAUUCAAAUACGAUUCUUACAAAGAAGAAGAAGAAAAAGAAGAGACGAAAAAUCUUGUUCGAACCUUCGUAAGUUUCUCCUUUAAAAAGAAUAAAAGAGCAAUUCUUCCUUUUA